This 156-nucleotide ribosomal RNA is filed under the name uncultured Polynucleobacter sp. RNAcentral describes it as "partial 16S ribosomal RNA". It matches the Rfam family "Bacterial small subunit ribosomal RNA", at positions 408 to 555 of the family's 1533-position model. The record is from RNAcentral. Lineage: Bacteria; Pseudomonadati; Pseudomonadota; Betaproteobacteria; Burkholderiales; Burkholderiaceae.
AAGAAGGCCUUCGGGUUGUAAAGCUCUUUUAGUCCGGGAAGAAACACCGGCUCUAACACAGUCCGGGAAUGACGGUACCUGAAGAAUAAGACCGGCUAACUACGUGCCAGCAGCCGCGGUAAUACGUAGGGUGCAAGCGUUAAUCGGAGCCUUACU